CGGGCGCGGCGCCGGUCUAAGUCCCUUGGAACGGGGCGUCAUAGAGGGUGAGAAUCCCGUAUGUGACCGGCGAUCAAGCCCAUGUGAAACUCCUUCGACGAGUCGAGUUGUUUGGGAAUGCAGCUCAAAUUGGGUGGUAAAUUUCAUCUAAAGCUAAAUACCGGCCAGAGACCGAUAGCGCACAAGUAGAGUGAUCGAAAGAUGAAAAGCACUUUGGAAAGAGAGUCAAACAGUACGUGAAAUUGUUGAAAGGGAAGCGCUUGCAACCAGACCUGUCCGUGGGCGAUCAGCCGUCCUUCUGGGCGGUGCACUCGCCUGCGAUCAGGCCAGCAUCGGUUCGGGCGGCCGGAUAAAGGCCUUGGGAACGUAGCUCCUCUCGGGGAGUGUUAUAGCCCUCGGUGCAAUGCGGCCAGCCUGGACCGAGGACCGCGCUUCGGCAAGGAUGCUGGCGUAAUGGUUGUAAGCGGCCCGUCUUGAAACACGGACCAAGGAGUCUAACAUCUAUGCGAGUGUUUGGGUGUUAAACCCAUGCGCGGAAUGAAAGUGAACGGAGGUGGGAACCCUUCGGGGCGCACCAUCGACCGAUCCAGAUGUCUUCGGAUGGAUUUGAGUACGAGCAUAGCUGUUGGGACCCGAAAGAUGGUGAACUAUGCCUGAAUAGGGUGAAGCCAGAGGAAACUCUGGUGGAGGCUCGCAGCGGUUCUGACGUGCAAAUCGAUCGUCAAAUUUGGGCAUAGGGG
This 740-nucleotide ribosomal RNA is filed under the name Shackletonia hertelii. RNAcentral describes it as "LSU rRNA". It matches the Rfam family "Eukaryotic large subunit ribosomal RNA", at positions 165 to 923 of the family's 3401-position model. The record is from RNAcentral. Lineage: Eukaryota; Fungi; Ascomycota; Lecanoromycetes; Teloschistales; Teloschistaceae.